CCUACGGGUGGCUGCAGUGAGGAAUAUUGGUCAAUGGGAGGAAUCCUGAACCAGCCAUGCCGCGUGCAGGACGAAGGCUCUACGGGUUGUAAACUGCUUUUGUACCGGGGUAAAAUGCCUUAAGUGUAGGGUUUUGAAAGUACGGUACGAAUUAGGAUCGGCUAACUCCGUUCUAGCAGCCGCGGGAAUACGGAGGAUCCGAGCGUUAUCCGGAUUCAUUGGGUGUAAAGGGUGAGUAGGUUGUUUUAUAAGUUCGCGGUGAACUACCGAUGCUCAACAUCGGGGCUGACGCUAAUACUGUAGGACUAGAGAUCGGAUGCAGCAGGCGGAAUGUGUAGGGUAGCGGUGAAAUGCAUAGAUAUUACACAGAACACCGAUUGCGAAGGCAGCUUGCUAGGCCGGAUCUGACACUGAUGCACGAAAGCGUGGGGAUCGAACAGGAUUAGAUACCCUUGUAGUC
This 460-nucleotide ribosomal RNA is filed under the name uncultured bacterium. Its description in RNAcentral is "partial 16S ribosomal RNA". It matches the Rfam family "Bacterial small subunit ribosomal RNA", at positions 338 to 795 of the family's 1533-position model. The record is from RNAcentral.